AACGCGAAGAACCUUACCAGCUUUUGACAUGCCCUGGACGGAAGACAGAGAUGUCUUCUUCUCUUCGGAGCCGGGGACACAGGUGCUGCAUGGCUGUCGUCAGCUCGUGUCGUGAGAUGUUGGGUUAAGUCCCGCAACGAGCGCAACCCUCGCCCUUAGUUGCCAUCAUUCAGUUGGGCACUCUAGGGGGACUGCCGGUGAUAAGCCGGAGGAAGGUGGGGAUGACGUCAAGUCCUCAUGGCCCUUACAGGCUGGGCUACACACGUGCUACAAUGGCGGUGACAACGGGAUGCGAAGGGGCGACCCCGAGCAAAUCUCGAAAAGCCGUCUCAGUUCGGAUUGCACUCUGCAACUCGAGUGCAUGAAGUUGGAAUCGCUAGUAAUCGCAGAUCAGCACGCUGCGGUGAAUACGUUCCCGGGCCUUGUACACACCGGCUAC
RNAcentral lists this ribosomal RNA (439 nucleotides) under uncultured bacterium. Its description in RNAcentral is "bacterial SSU rRNA". It matches the Rfam family "Bacterial small subunit ribosomal RNA", at positions 958 to 1397 of the family's 1533-position model. The record is from RNAcentral.